UAAAAGCUACCCUGGGGAUAACAGGCUUAUCUCCCCCAAGAGUCCACAUCGACGGGGAGGUUUGGCACCUCGAUGUCGGCUCAUCACAUCCUGGGGCUGUAGUAGGUCCCAAGGGUUGGGCUGUUCGCCCAUUACAGUGGUACGCGAGCUGGGUUCAGAACGUCGUGAGACAGUUCGGUCCCUAUCCGUCGCAGGCGUAGGAAAUUUGAGAAGACCUGUCCUUAGUACGAGAGGACCGUGACGGACGUACCUCUGGUGUACCAGUUGUUCUGCCAAGGGCAUGGCUGGGUAGCUAUGUACGGAAUGGAUAAGCGCUGAAAGCAUCUAAGCGCGAAGCCAACUUCAAGAUAAGAUUUCCCACCG
Molecule: ribosomal RNA, 363 nt
Filed under: Clostridioides difficile
Lineage: Bacteria; Bacillati; Bacillota; Clostridia; Peptostreptococcales; Peptostreptococcaceae
Description: partial 23S ribosomal RNA
Rfam family: Bacterial large subunit ribosomal RNA
Source: RNAcentral